Molecule: ribosomal RNA, 984 nt
Filed under: Microlunatus sp.
Lineage: Bacteria; Bacillati; Actinomycetota; Actinomycetes; Propionibacteriales; Propionibacteriaceae
Description: bacterial SSU rRNA
Rfam family: Bacterial small subunit ribosomal RNA
Source: RNAcentral
CCCCUUCGGGGGUACACGAGUGGCGAACGGGUGAGUAACACGUGAGCAACCUACCCUUGACAUCGGAAUAAGCCCGAGAAAUCGGGUCUAAUACCGAAUGAUCACUCUCGCGGUCAUCUGCGAGAGUGCAAAGCUCCGGCGGUCAGGGAUGGGCUCGCGGCCUAUCAGCUAGUUGGUGAGGUAACGGCUCACCAAGGCUUCGACGGGUAGCCGGCCUGAGAGGGCGACCGGCCACACUGGGACUGAGAUACGGCCCAGACUCCUACGGGAGGCAGCAGUGGGGAAUAUUGCACAAUGGACGAAAGUCUGAUGCAGCAACGCCGCGUGCGGGAUGACGGCCUUCGGGUUGUAAACCGCUUUCAGUGCCGACGAAGCGAAAGUGACGGUAGGCGCAGAAGAAGGACCGGCCAACUACGUGCCAGCAGCCGCGGUGAUACGUAGGGUCCGAGCGUUGUCCGGAAUUAUUGGGCGUAAAGGGCUUGUAGGCGGUCUGCUGCGUCGGGAGUGAAAACUCAGGGCUUAACUCUGAGCGUGCUUCCGAUACGGGCAGACUAGAGGAAUGCAGGGGAGAAUGGAAUACCUGGUGGAGCGGUGGAAUGCGCAGAUAUCAGGUGGAACACCAGUGGCGAAGGCGGUUCUCUGGGCAUUUCCUGACGCUGAGAAGCGAAAGCGUGGGGAGCAAACAGGCUUAGAUACCCUGGUAGUCCACGCCGUAAACGGUGGGCACUAGGUGUGGGACUCAUUCCACGAGUUCCGUGCCGUAGCUAACGCAUUAAGUGCCCCGCCUGGGGAGUACGGCCGCAAGGCUAAAACUCAAAGGAAUUGACGGGGGCCCGCACAAGCGGCGGAGCAUGCGGAUUAAUUCGAUGCAACGCGAAGAACCUUACCUGGGUUUGACAUAUACCGGAAAGCUGCAGAGAUGUAGCCCCCGCAAGGUCGGUAUACAGGUGGUGCAUGGCUGUCGUCAGCUCGUGUCGUGAGAUG